UACGGAGGGUGCAAGCGUUAUCCGGAUUUACUGGGUUUAAAGGGUGCGUAGGUGGGUAGGUAAGUCAGUGGUGAAAUCUUCGAGCUUAACUCGGAAACUGCCAUUGAUACUAUUUAUCUUGAAUACUCUGGAGGUAAGCGGAAUAUGUCAUGUAGCGGUGAAAUGCUUAGAUAUGACAUUGAACACCAAUUGCGAAGGCAGCUUACUACAUAGUUAUUGACACUGAGGCACGAAAGCGUGGGGAUCAAACAGG
RNAcentral lists this ribosomal RNA (253 nucleotides) under uncultured bacterium. RNAcentral's name for it is "partial 16S ribosomal RNA". It matches the Rfam family "Bacterial small subunit ribosomal RNA", at positions 524 to 776 of the family's 1533-position model. The record is from RNAcentral.